GUCCUGGUGACCACGGCGGAGGGGCCACACCCGAUUCCAUUCCGAACUCGGAAGUUAAGACCUCCAGCGCCAAUGAUACUGCCAGUCCACUGGUGGGAAAGUAGGUCGUCGCCAGGAC
This 118-nucleotide ribosomal RNA is filed under the name Desulfomicrobium escambiense. The record is from RNAcentral. Lineage: Bacteria; Pseudomonadati; Thermodesulfobacteriota; Desulfovibrionia; Desulfovibrionales; Desulfomicrobiaceae.